This 458-nucleotide ribosomal RNA is filed under the name uncultured bacterium. Its description in RNAcentral is "partial 16S ribosomal RNA". It matches the Rfam family "Bacterial small subunit ribosomal RNA", at positions 338 to 795 of the family's 1533-position model. The record is from RNAcentral.
CCUACGGGUGGCAGCAGUGGGGAAUAUUGCACAAUGGGCGCAAGCCUGAUGCAGCGACGCCGCGUGCGGGAUGGAGGCCUUCGGGUUGUAAACCGCUUUUGUUCAAGGGCAAGGCACGGUCUUUGGCCGUGUUGAGUGGAUUGUUCGAAUAAGCACCGGCUAACUACGUGCCAGCAGCCGCGGUAAUACGUAGGGUGCAAGCGUUAUCCGGAUUUAUUGGGCGUAAAGGGCUCGUAGGCGGUUCGUCGCGUCCGGUGUGAAAGUCCAUCGCUUAACGGUGGAUCCGCGCCGGGUACGGGCGGGCUUGAGUGCGGUAGGGGAGACUGGAAUUCCCGGUGUAACGGUGGAAUGUGUAGAUAUCGGGAAGAACACCAAUGGCGAAGGCAGCUUACCAAGCUACUUCUGACGUUGAGGCACGAAAGCGUGGGGAGCAAACAGGAUUAGAUACCCCAGUAGUC